Molecule: ribosomal RNA, 334 nt
Filed under: uncultured eukaryote
Lineage: Eukaryota
Description: partial 18S ribosomal RNA
Rfam family: Eukaryotic small subunit ribosomal RNA
Source: RNAcentral
CCCUUAGAUGUCCGGGGCCGCACGCGCGCUACACUGAAGGAAUCAGCGUGGCUUUCUCCCUGACCCGAAAGGGUUGGGAAACCCGUUGAAUCUCCUUCGUGAUAGGGAUUGGGGCUUGAAAUUGUUCCCCAUGAACGAGGUAUUCCCAGUAAGCGCGAGUCAUAAGCUCGCGUUGAUUACGUCCCUGCCCUUUGUACACACCGCCCGUCGCUACUACCGAUUGAACGGUUUAGUGAGGGCCUCGGAUUGGUCUCGGCCCGCUCUUUACCGGGCGGCGCCGUUGGUCGAGAAGACGCUCGAACUUGAUCGUUUAGAGGAAGUAAAAGUCGUAACA